RNAcentral lists this ribosomal RNA (471 nucleotides) under uncultured bacterium. RNAcentral's name for it is "partial 16S ribosomal RNA". It matches the Rfam family "Bacterial small subunit ribosomal RNA", at positions 28 to 507 of the family's 1533-position model. The record is from RNAcentral.
GACGAACGCUGGCGGCGUGCUUAACACAUGCAAGUCGAACGAUGAAGCCUGGCUUUCUAGGUGGUUUAGUUGCGGACGGGUGAGUAAGACGUGAGUAACCUACCUUUAUCUCUGAGAUAAGCCUGGUAAACUAAGUCUAAUACCUGAUACGACCAAUCUCCGCAUGGGGUGUUGGUUGAUAGCGUAAUGUAGUGGUUAUAGAUAGGCUCAAGGCCUAUCAGCUUGUUGGUGAGGUAACGGCUCACCACGGCGACGACGGAUAUCCGGCAUGAGAGUGUGAACGCGGACCAUGGGACUGAGAGAGGGAGCAGAAUGCUACGGGCGGCAGUAGUGGGAAGCAUUGCAGAAUGGGGGCGAGCGUGAUGUAGAGAUCUCGCGUGCGGGAUGACGGCUUUCGGGUUGUAAACAAAUGUUAGAAGAGAAGAAGAGAUAUUGACGGUACCUGAAGAGAAAGCGCCGGCUAACUACGUG